This 1232-nucleotide ribosomal RNA is filed under the name Burkholderia sp. BCB-60. RNAcentral's name for it is "bacterial SSU rRNA". It matches the Rfam family "Bacterial small subunit ribosomal RNA", at positions 43 to 1268 of the family's 1533-position model. Lineage: Bacteria; Pseudomonadati; Pseudomonadota; Betaproteobacteria; Burkholderiales; Burkholderiaceae. The record is from RNAcentral.
CGUGCCACUGUGCACACAGUCAGCCACGGCUUAGCUUGCAUGCUGGGUGGUGAGUGGCGAACGGGUGAGUAAUACAUCUGGAACAUGUCCUGUUGUGGGGGAUAGCCCGGCGAUAAGCCGGAUUAAUACCGCAUACCAUCUACGGAUGAAAGCGGGGGACCUUCGGGCCUCGCGCUAUAGGGUUGGCGCGAUGGCUGAUUAGCUAGUUGGUGGGGUAAAGGCCUACCAAGGCGACGAUCAGUAGCUGGUCUGAGAGGACGACCAGCCACACUGGGACUGAGACACGGCCCAGACUCCUACGGGAGGCAGCAGUGGGGAAUUUUGGACAAUGGGCGAAAGCCUGAUCCAGCAAUGCCGCGUGUGUGAAGAAGGCCUUCGGGUUGUAAAGCACUUUUGUCCGGAAAGAAAUCCUUGGCUCUAAUACAGUCGGGGGAUGACGGUACCGGAAGAAUAAGCACCGGCUAACUACGUGCCAGCAGCCGCGGUAAUACGUAGGGUGCAAGCGUUAAUCGGAAUUACUGGGCGUAAAGCGUGCGCAGGCGGUUUGCUAAGACCGAUGUGAAAUCCCCGGGCUCAACCUGGGAACUGCAUUGGUGACUGGCAGGCUAGAGUAUGGGCGAGGGCGGUAGAAUUCCACGUGUAGCAGUGAAAUGCGUAGAGAUGUGGAGGAAUACCGAUGGCGAAGGCAGCCCCCUGGGCCAAUACUGACGCUCAUGCACGAAAGCGUGGGGAGCAAACAGGAUUAGAUACCCUGGUAGUCGACGCCCUAAACGAUGUCAACUAGUUGUUGCGGGAUUCAUUUCCUUAGUAACGUAGCUAACGCGUGAAGUUGACCGCCUGGGGAGUACGGUCGCAAGAUUAAAACUCAAAGGAAUUGACGGGGACCCGCACAAGCGGUGGAUGAUGUGGAUUAAUUCGAUGCAACGCGAAAAACCUUACCUACCCUUGACAUGGUCGGAAUCCUGCUGAGAGGCGGGAGUGCUCGAUAAGAGAACCGGCGCACAGGUGCUGCAUGGCUGUCGUCAGCUCGUGUCGUGAGUAUGUUGGGUUAAGUCCCGCAACGAGCGCAACCCUUGUCCUUAGUUGCUACGCAAGAGCACUCUAAGGAGACUGCCGGUGACAAACCGGAGGAAGGUGGGGAUGACGUCAAGUCCUCAUGGCCCUUAUGGGUAGGGCUUCACACGCUGAUACAAUCGGUCGGAACAGAGGGUUGCCAACCCGCGACUGGGAGC